AAGUGACAAGUUUCAGAUUUGUCCUGCAGCCCAGGGCUGUUUGUGUGGAAUUUAUAGGAACAAAUUCAAGGCCGCUGUCUUUGCACUGAAACCCCCUUUUGUGCUCAGCUGUCAGAGCACAGGCAGCAAAGGAGUUUCUUUCCCCAGGCGCUGGGAAUCUGUAUGUAAAAACUUCACGCUUAAAUUUGGCCUAACAGGAAAAUGGAAAAUGCUGACUAAGCCCUGAUCCUUUGCCCAACUCCCUCCACGUAACCAGCCCGGGAGUGUUCACUCCUUCCAGCCCUUAGAGCAGGGAAUACCAGCGGGAGCUGCAGCCAGGCUGGCCCGUCCCAGCACAGGCAGAGCCCUGGAUCUCCCCAAAACAAAGUCCUGCCUGCUGCAAACCUCCUGCUGCUCCUCUGCCACCCCCACUUGUCUGUCCCUUGCCCCAGCAAACACCUCUCAGCAGAAGAUCCACCUGCAGUUUUUAGGAAAGCGUCUCCAGAGAAAAGGGAAGGGGGCGGUUCAGGAGCCUCUCACCUGGUUGGGUCUCAUGGGAGCUUCCUGAGCAAUGCCCGAAAUUACCGAAAUCCAACAGAAAUGCUACUUUCUCAUGUUUAUUCCUGUAAACUACAAACACAAGAAAUGCUGAAUCGUAAAGAAUAGAAACUCUGUAAAGAAAAAAAAAAAUCAAACACAAACAAAACCUCAUUUCAGGCUUCCUCCCAUACUUUUUGUUCCUCCCUCCCACUUCAAACUCGGUGUUAUUUGCCAAAGAUUGGUCAUGGUUUGGAUAGCACAUCUUGCUCUACACGUUCAAAACAGCAUGAAGUGCAGAAAAAAAACCAACACAAACACCUCCUCCCCAAACAACACCCAAGCAGCAACUAAAGCAGGUGAUUAAAGGAAAUAAAAUGAGGCAACAAGAACCGGCUAAGGCUUCCAGCUCUGCUCUUUGCUGAGUUUCUCUUGGGGGUUUUGGGGUUUGGUUUUGGUUAUUGGGAUUUUUUGUUGUUUUGUUUUUUUUUUUCCUUUCACUCAGAGAAAGUUAAAGACUUAGAAAAAUCCCUAUCCCUGAAUCACAGCAUUGAGCCAGAAUCAGCUGGAAUUUCAGCCCUGUGUUUAAUCUAACUUUAAACAUGCCUUCAAAAUAAAACAAGCUACUUUUUUUUAACC
RNAcentral lists this long non-coding RNA (1155 nucleotides) under Taeniopygia guttata (zebra finch). Its description in RNAcentral is "lncRNA (ENSTGUG00000027031.1)". The record is from RNAcentral. Lineage: Eukaryota; Metazoa; Chordata; Aves; Passeriformes; Estrildidae.